This 33-nucleotide transfer RNA is filed under the name Mimobdella japonica. RNAcentral's name for it is "partial tRNA-Cys". The record is from RNAcentral. Lineage: Eukaryota; Metazoa; Annelida; Clitellata; Hirudinida; Salifidae.
AAAAUUAAAAGUAUACAUCUAUAUCACUUUCUA